UACGGAGGAUGCGAGCGUUAUCCGGAUUUAUUGGGUCUAAAGGGUGCGUAGGCGGGCUUUUAAGUCAGCGGUAAAAAUUCGGGGCUCAACCCCGUCCGGCCGUUGAAACUGGGGGUCUUGAGUGGGCGAGAAGAAGGCGGAAUGCGUGGUGUAGCGGUGAAAUGCAUAGAUAUCACGCAGAACCCCGAUUGCGAAGGCAGCCUUCCGGCGCCCUACUGACGCUGAGGCACGAAAGUGCGGGGAUCGAACAGG
Molecule: ribosomal RNA, 252 nt
Filed under: uncultured bacterium
Lineage: Bacteria
Description: partial 16S ribosomal RNA
Rfam family: Bacterial small subunit ribosomal RNA
Source: RNAcentral